Molecule: ribosomal RNA, 985 nt
Filed under: uncultured organism
Description: bacterial SSU rRNA
Rfam family: Bacterial small subunit ribosomal RNA
Source: RNAcentral
AUGGUUAGGUAACGUACCCCGUGCUUCAGGAUAACGUCUAGGUGCUUGCACCUUUCCGAAAGGGGCGGUAAUACUGAAUAACAUCGUGGAUCGAUGGGUCUGCGAUCAAAGAUUUAUCGGCGUGGGAGCGGCCUAAUUCCUAUCAGCUUGUUGGUGAGGUAAUGGCUCACCAAGGCAAUGACGGGUAGCGGGACUGAGAGGUUGGCCCGCAACAUCGGGACUGAGAUACUGCCCGGACCUCCACGGAGGGCUGCAGUAACGAAUAUUGGGCAAUGGGCGAAAGCCUGACCCAGCGACGCCGCGUGCGGGAGGAAGUCCUUCGGGAUGUAAACCGCUGUCAGGGUAAAGAAAGUAUGCUUCGGCAUAUUGAUCUACCCCAGAGGAAGUCACGGCUAACUUCGUGCCAGCAGCCGCGGUAAGACGAAGGUGGCAAGCGUUGUUCGGUAUUACUGGGCUUAAAGCGUGUGUAGGCGGAAACUUAAGCGUUUUGUGAAAUCCCUCGGCUUAACCGAGGAAUUGCUUGACGAACUGGGUUUCUUGAGGCAAGUAGGGGUGCGCAGAACUCUUGGUGGAGCGGUGGAAUGCGUAGAUAUCAAGAGGAAUGCCGGUGGAGAAGUCGGCGCACUGGGCUUGUCCUGACGCUGAGACACGAAAGCGUGGGGAGCGAACGGGAUUAGAUACCCCGGUAGUCCACGCUGUAAACGAUGCCUACUAGGUUGUGGUGGUUCUGACGCCAGCACAGCCGAAGCCAAAGUGUUAAGUAGGCCGCCUGGGGAGUACGGUCGCAAGGCUAAAACUCAAAGGAAUUGACGGGGGCUCACACAAGCGGUGGAGCAUGUGGAUUAAUUCGAAGCAACGCGCAGAACCUUACCUGGGUUUGACAUGCAUGGAUGCCCAUCUGGAAACAGAGUAGGCUGCCUUCGGGUGAAACUUGCACAGGUGCUGCAUGGCUGUCGUCAGCUCGUGUCGUGAGAUGUCGGGUUAA